RNAcentral lists this ribosomal RNA (273 nucleotides) under uncultured bacterium. RNAcentral describes it as "partial 16S ribosomal RNA". It matches the Rfam family "Bacterial small subunit ribosomal RNA", at positions 524 to 796 of the family's 1533-position model. The record is from RNAcentral.
GACGGAGGGUGCUAGCGUUGUUCGGAAUCACUGGGCGUAAAGGGCGCGUAGGCGGCCAAGGCAGUCGGAUGUGAAAGCCCGGGGCUCAACCUCGGAGGUGCAUCCGAUACUCUUUGGCUGGAGGCCGGAAGAGGAGGGUGGAAUACCCAGUGUAGAGGUGAAAUUCGUAGAUAUUGGGUGGAACACCGGUGGCGAAAGCGGCUCUCUGGUCCGGACCUGACGCUGAGGCGCGAAAGCGUGGGGAGCAAACAGGAUUAGAAACCCCCGUAGUCC